This 880-nucleotide small RNA is filed under the name Pongo abelii (Sumatran orangutan). Its description in RNAcentral is "retained intron". Lineage: Eukaryota; Metazoa; Chordata; Mammalia; Primates; Hominidae. The record is from RNAcentral.
GGCCCCGUCUGAGGUCUGGCAGUCAGAGACAGAGCCGGGCGCCCACGGCCCGAGCGCCCACGGCAGCACCAUGCCCGCACUCCUGGAGCGCCCCAAGCUUUCCAACGCCAUGGCCAGGGCGCUGCACCGGCACAUUAUGAUGGAGCGGGAGCGCAAGCGGCAGGGUGAGCCGGGGCCAUAGCGGGGGGACAGACGGCCCAGAAUGGCUCCUGUACCUCAAGGCUGGCCUCAACCCACCGGCCAACCAGCGCGCCCGCUGCCGAGCGCAGAGGAGGGAAGUAAUAGCCCCGUUGUGGUGGGAUUUAAGCGUCCUGUUCCACGCUCCAGAACCCUUGAGAUGGGAAGGACCUUGGAGAGCACCUGAUAAAUCCUCUCCGUUCCCUAUUGCCGCGAAGGGGAGCUUGUCCCUUCGAGGCAGAGAGCACACAGGCGUGUUGGGAUGACUGGGUUUUGCUGGUCUUCAAUCUGUAACGUUGGAAUUGUUUUCACUACCCUGCCUCUUCUUCAUUCUGCCUGAUUCUCCAGAGGAAGAAGAGGUGGAUAAGAUGAUGGAACAGAAGAUGAAGGAAGAACAGGAGAGAAGGAAGAAAAAGGAGAUGGAAGAGAGAAUGUCACUAGAGGAGACCAAGGAACAAAUUCUGAAGUUGGAGGAGAAGCUUUUGGCCUUACAGGAAGAGAAGCACCAGCUUUUCCUGCAGCUCAAGAAAGUUUUACAUGAGGAAGAAAAACGGAGGCGAAAGGAACAGAGUGACCUGACCACCCUGACAUCCGCUGCAUACCAGCAGAGCCUGACUGUUCACACAGGAACUCAUCUCCUCAGCAUGCAGGACCCGGCACUACGUGGGCUCAGCAGCUGCUUUUGCGGGGACACCAGAGCAUG